UCUGUUUACACUUAUUCUACUUUUUUGUUUUUACAUAAUUUUAUUUAUAUUUAUUUUACUAAAUAAUUACUAAUACAUAAAGAAGUAUGUGCAGAAUUUAAUUUCACAACUAAAGAGGACUCCGAAGAAGAAUUAAAGUUCUGGUGGAUCAAAGAUCGAGGAAUGAUUUGGUUUUAACUGGUUUGCAUCUUAUGAACGAAGUACAUAAUAUGAUUUAAAUUAAUGAUUUAUAGUUACAUCUAUUCAAAUUCUGUAUCUCAAUGAUAUCCUGGCUUAUCGAUACGAUAUCCUGUAAAUCCACUCACACACAUAAAUUUUACUCGUACACGUAAAUCCUGUAAAUUCACUCACACACAUAAAUCUUAAAAAAGAUGUUUAUAUUUUUA
This is a long non-coding RNA of Hydra vulgaris (swiftwater hydra), 386 nucleotides long. RefSeq lists it as uncharacterized. The record is from RefSeq and is a predicted model, not a curated record. Lineage: Eukaryota; Metazoa; Cnidaria; Hydrozoa; Anthoathecata; Hydridae.